GACGAGCCACACGAACGUUAUUCGGAAUUACUGGGCUUAAAGGGUGCGUAGGCUGCGCGGCAAGUUGGGUGUGAAAUCCCUUGGCUCAACCGAGGAACUGCGCCCAAAACUGCCGUGCUCGAGGAAGAUAGAGGUAAGCGGAACUUACGGUGGAGCGGUGAAAUGCGUUGAUAUCGUAAGGAACACCUGUGGCGAAAGCGGCUUACUGGGUCUUUUCUGACGCUGAUGCACGAAAGCUAGGGGAGCAAACGGG
RNAcentral lists this ribosomal RNA (253 nucleotides) under uncultured bacterium. RNAcentral describes it as "partial 16S ribosomal RNA". It matches the Rfam family "Bacterial small subunit ribosomal RNA", at positions 524 to 776 of the family's 1533-position model. The record is from RNAcentral.